CUGGUUCAUGAAGUGGUUCGAACUUUGCCGCGAGAUAUGACAGCGAUAUAAACCCCUCAGACUACAUUCAAAAAUGUGGGUGUUUGAUGGAGAGUUGCGGUUAGUGAGAGUUUGGAGACCGUUUGGAGGUUUAUGAGAGUGAGGAGAGAAAGUCAGGAGAGAAUGGAGCCAGCUAAGAAGAGGAGGAUGUCCUCCCCUGUGUGGGAACAUUUUGAUCUUAUUCCUCCCAACAAGGUGAAGUGUUUGCUAUGUGCCAGGGAGCUGGGAUAUAACAACAACACCUCAUCCAUGCUUAGGCACUACAGAGCUUUGCAUGAGAAUAAGGGGGACACCGAUUGUGGAGCAAGACCAGGAGAACAAUCUCAAAUAGAUGAAGACCUGGUCAGCAUGGUGAUUGAGGACUCCCAGCCAUUUAGCAUUGUGGAGGACAAAGGAUUCAAAAGAUUUGUUAAAUCAUUAAAUCCUAGCUAUGUUCUCCCCACUAAAAAGGUCGUAAAAGCAGUGAAAAUUUAGUUUUUACAGAAUAAAAUGUGAACAGGCAGGACUGAGGCCUCAGUGUGUAGCUGUCCAUACCUCAACAUUACAAAAGCACAACUACUGUCCACACCCCAACCACACCUCACCUCACAGUAAAUGAUCAUUUCCAUUUCAAGCAUUUCCAAAUAAUCAUUUCCCAUACUGCCACUAUAAAUAUACACAGUAUACUGCCAUCACUACAAUAUACAUGUUUUACACACUCC
This is a long non-coding RNA of Astatotilapia calliptera (eastern happy), 740 nucleotides long. Lineage: Eukaryota; Metazoa; Chordata; Actinopteri; Cichliformes; Cichlidae. The record is from Ensembl.